UGUGGAACCCUAAACGGCCGCGGCAAAACCCGUGCAAAGGUAGCACAAUCACUUGUCCCUUAAAUGAGGACCCGUAUGAAAGGCAACAUGAGAGAAAACCUGUCUCCUAAGGUCCGCCAAUGAAAUUGAACUGCCAGUACAAAAGCUGGUAUUCUAAAGCAAGACAAAAAGACCCCGUGGAACUUUUAAUGCUCUGUUAACACAACUUAACAAAAAUUUCAGUUGGGACAACUUUAGAAAAACAAAACUCCUAAAUACCCCAGACCAACAAGCCUAAACAUGUAAUUGACCCAGUCAGACUGAUUAACGAACCAAGCUACCCCGGGNAUAACAGCGCCACCUUCUCAAANAGUCCUUAUCAACAANAAGACCUACAACCUCNAUGUUGGAUCAGGGUACCCC
Molecule: ribosomal RNA, 402 nt
Filed under: Palleon nasus (elongate leaf chameleon)
Lineage: Eukaryota; Metazoa; Chordata; Lepidosauria; Squamata; Chamaeleonidae
Description: partial 16S ribosomal RNA
Rfam family: Bacterial large subunit ribosomal RNA
Source: RNAcentral